AUAUUACUCCCUUCGUCCUAAAUUUUUUGUCUUAGAUUUGUUUAGAUAUAAAUGUAUCUAGUUACGUUUUAGUAUUUUGAUACAUCUAUUUUUAGACAAACCUAAGACAAGAAUUUUGAGACGAAGGGAGUAGUAA
Molecule: non-coding RNA, 136 nt
Organism: Hordeum vulgare subsp. vulgare (domesticated barley)
Lineage: Eukaryota; Viridiplantae; Streptophyta; Magnoliopsida; Poales; Poaceae
Source: Rfam